Molecule: ribosomal RNA, 522 nt
Filed under: uncultured bacterium
Lineage: Bacteria
Description: bacterial SSU rRNA
Rfam family: Bacterial small subunit ribosomal RNA
Source: RNAcentral
GCGCAAUGGGCGAAAGCCUGACGCAGCAACGCCGCGUGGGGGAUGACGGCCUUCGGGUUGUAAACCUCUUUCGACAGGGACGAAGCUUUCGGGUGACGGUACCUGUAGAAGAAGCACCGGCUAACUACGUGCCAGCAGCCGCGGUAAUACGUAGGGUGCGAGCGUUGUCCGGAUUUAUUGGGCGUAAAGAGCUCGUAGGCGGUUUGUCGCGUCGGCCGUGAAAACCUGCAGCUUAACUGUGGGCGUGCGGUCGAUACGGGCAGACUUGAGUUCGGCAGGGGAGACUGGAAUUCCUGGUGUAGCGGUGAAAUGCGCAGAUAUCAGGAGGAACACCGGUGGCGAAGGCGGGUCUCUGGGCCGAUACUGACGCUGAGGAGCGAAAGCAUGGGGAGCGAACAGGAUUAGAUACCCUGGUAGUCCAUGCCGUAAACGUUGGGCGCUAGGUGUGGGGAUGGGUUCCACCGUUUCCGUGUCGUAGCUAACGCAUUAAGCGCCCCGCCUGGGGAGUACGGCCGCAAGGCU